RNAcentral lists this ribosomal RNA (221 nucleotides) under Bacillus cereus. Its description in RNAcentral is "partial 16S ribosomal RNA". It matches the Rfam family "Bacterial small subunit ribosomal RNA", at positions 546 to 767 of the family's 1533-position model. Lineage: Bacteria; Bacillati; Bacillota; Bacilli; Caryophanales; Bacillaceae. The record is from RNAcentral.
CGGAAUUAUUGGGCGUAAGCGCGCGCAGGUGGUUUCUUAAGUCUGAUGUGAAAGCCCACGGCUCAACCGUGGAGGGUCAUUGGAAACUGGGAGACUUGAGUGCAGAAGAGGAAAGUGGAAUUCCAUGUGUAGCGGUGAAAUGCGUAGAGAUAUGGAGGAACACCAGUGGCGAAGGCGACUUUCUGGUCUGUAACUGACACUGAGGCGCGAAAGCGUGGGGA